RNAcentral lists this long non-coding RNA (472 nucleotides) under Cricetulus griseus (Chinese hamster). Its description in RNAcentral is "lncRNA (ENSCGRG00015042558.1)". Lineage: Eukaryota; Metazoa; Chordata; Mammalia; Rodentia; Cricetidae. The record is from RNAcentral.
AAGAAAAAAGGAAGAUGGCUGCCUUUGGGCUGAGGCGUGCCGAAGGUUGAUAAGAAGCCUGCAGAGGAAACCUGGUAACUGAACAAGAGAAUUCGUUCUCUAGAACAGAGCAAGGCAGCCAGGUUCUGAUGACAGUGAGAAGGAAACAUGCCACAAGAGGCCUGCAGUGGCUCUGCUGAGACCCUGGGACUGGGCCCAGGCAGCACCAUCUCCCUGAGGUCCAGUUAAAGGUGGCUUCUCAAUGCACUACAGGAUGGACAGACUGCCAUCGGCACAGUGCACUACGGGAUGGACAGACUGUCAUCAGCACAGUGCACUACAGGAUAGACAGACUGUCAUCAGCACAGUGCACUAUGGGAUAGACAGACUGUCAUCAGCACAGUGCACUAUGGGAUGGAUACUAUCAUCAGGAUGGCAGCCAUCUCUCACAACACUCAAGGAUACACAGCUGAUUUUAAAGGAGGCAUACAAG